Catharus ustulatus (Swainson's thrush) is the source of this 1370-nucleotide long non-coding RNA. RefSeq lists it as uncharacterized. NCBI's taxonomy places the organism in Eukaryota, Metazoa, Chordata, Aves, Passeriformes, Turdidae. The record is from RefSeq and is a predicted model, not a curated record. The transcript has 2 exons.
CGCCCUUCUUGCAGAGCGGUCCCCUGAAGACGCCUUUGAUGCCGCGGUAGUGCCCGUUGCUGAGGUGCCGGGAGCUGAUGACCAGGUAUGAAAAUCUUCCACCACUGAACAGCUGGAACAGGUUGUUCUCCCUUUCUGCAAGACAGAGGUGCGAGGUACCUCGGACCCGCUUGUGCAGACUCAGUUUCUUCUCAUCAGGUCACAAGUAUCGUCUCUGCUCUGCUGCGUGCAAAGUCGAUAAAAUAAAUCAAUAAAUCACACAGCCUUAGUAGUCACCUGCAGAUCAUUCAUUUCUUCGAAGUAGAUGGUUUAAACUGUAGAUAAGAAUUGUUUCAGUUUUUUCACUUAAUCUCCUAAAAGCAUGUGCUUUCAGUUAUUAAUGAAACUGAUAAGGCACAAUCAUUCUAAUUUUAGAUUCUCAAGAGCUUUUUUCUAUGAACCUAAUGUAAAUAAAAGGAAAAUCUCACACAAUCCACCAAACUGAUAAAGAGAUAAUGGCAAAUCAAAUAUUAUUUUUUGACUGUUUAUGUAAAAUAGUGUUGUACAAUCCUAGUAUUCAGCAUUUUAUAGUGUUUCACAUACCAUAUUGAGUUUGACUAUGUGUGUGUAUGUACAUAUGUACAAAUCGUCAAAUAUAUUAUUAUGUAUUUUAUUAAUAAAUAUACAAUGUUAUAAAGAAAACAUAAUAAUUCUGAAUUUGGAAUAACCAGAGGUGGAAACAAUGUAUUAAGAACAUCCAUAUGUUAACCAUCAUACAGUGUCUUACAAUGUAAAAAUCUUUUAGGUAGGGGGUCAAAUUAAGGUGGUAAAACUGAGGUGUGAAAUAAAUGAAAGGACUUGGCUCUUUGCAUUAUGUGUGCAUUAUGGGACUCCUUGCUAAAGAGUGUUGUGGAUCACAGAUUAAACAGUCCUAUGAAUCAGAUCAGGCUUUGAAGCCUGGUAGCAAUACAGGUAGCAAAAGACCUCUGGAGGACUUUUCUGAAGGAAGAGAAGUUUGAGAAAUUGUAAUAAUGUACUGAAAAAAAAAAUAGUCCACUGUUAAUUUGGUGGUGAAAAGGAGUUUUAUGAUUUCCUCCUACAAGUCACAGAAGUCACAGCUACGUGAGUGACUUGAAAUUUAUUCUUGUUGGCAUAUAUAUUAACUGCAAGUUCUUCCUGAAAUAAUUCCUCUGCAAACCUGUUAAAGAUAAAAGUAUUGUCUUCACUUUGAAUUUUGGUCUGCAUCAUAGCUUUCUGACUCCACACUGAAUAUGUAUCUGGAAGUAAAGACGAGCACCUUUUCUCUUUGGCAAUGAAAUGAACUUCCAAAAACUUUGCUUCUCUAUGAUGCAGCUGAAUAGAAACAAUGAAAAUUUACAUCUCAUCUUGCA